Molecule: long non-coding RNA, 323 nt
Filed under: Oncorhynchus mykiss (rainbow trout)
Lineage: Eukaryota; Metazoa; Chordata; Actinopteri; Salmoniformes; Salmonidae
Description: lncRNA (ENSOMYG00000057698.1)
Source: RNAcentral
CUCUAUGAGGAUGUUCCAUCUCUCUCAUCCUCUCUGUCCUUCUAUCCCUCUAUCUAAUAUGUCUCGAAGAUAUUGUACAACUGUACAGACUCUCUAUGAGGCUGUUCCAUCUCUCUGCUCUUCCAUCUCUCUCUCAUCCUCUCUGUCCUUCUAUCUAAUGUGUCUCUCUAUGAGGCUGUUCCAUCUCUCUCAUCCUCUCUGUCCUUCUAUCCCUCUAUCUAAUGUGUCUCUCUAUGAGGCUGUUCCAUCUCUCUCAUCCUCUCUGUCCUUCUAUCCCUCUAUCUAAUGUGUCUCUCUAUGAGGCUGUUCCAUCUCUCUCAUCC